UACGAAGGGGGCUAGCGUUGCUCGGAAUCACUGGGCGUAAAGCGCACGUAGGCGGCUUUCUAAGUCAGGGGUGAAAUCCUGGAGCUCAACUCCAGAACUGCCUUUGAUACUGGAGAGCUUGAGUCCGGGAGAGGUGAGUGGAACUCCGAGUGUAGAGGUGAAAUUCGUAGAUAUUCGGAAGAACACCAUUGGCGAAGGCGGCUCACUGGCCCGGUACUGACGCUGAUGUGCGAAAGCGUGGGGAGCAAACAGG
This 253-nucleotide ribosomal RNA is filed under the name uncultured bacterium. RNAcentral describes it as "partial 16S ribosomal RNA". It matches the Rfam family "Bacterial small subunit ribosomal RNA", at positions 524 to 776 of the family's 1533-position model. The record is from RNAcentral.